UUUUGAUUUUUUAUACGACCGCAAAAUUUGAAAAAUUUUUCGUCGUAUAUUGCUAUCACGUUGGCGUCGUCGUCGUCGUCGUCGUCGUCGUCGUCCGAAUACUUUUAGUUUUAGCACUCUAACUUUAGUAAAAGUGAAUGGAAAUCUAUGAAAUUUUAAAACAAGGUUUAUGACCACAAAAGGAAGGUUGGUAUUGAUUUUGGGAGUUUUGGUCCCAACAUUUUAGGAAUUAGGGGCCAAAAAGGGCUCAAAUAAGCAUUUUCUUG
RNAcentral lists this long non-coding RNA (266 nucleotides) under Mytilus galloprovincialis (Mediterranean mussel). Lineage: Eukaryota; Metazoa; Mollusca; Bivalvia; Mytilida; Mytilidae. The record is from RNAcentral.